CCCGCACAAGCGGUGGAGCAUGUGGUUUAAUUCGAUGAUACGCGAGGAACCUUACCUGGGCUCAAAUGUAUGUUGACGUAUUCUGAAAGGGAUACUUCUUCGGACAAUAUACAAGGUGCUGCAUGGUUGUCGUCAGCUCGUGCCGUGAGGUGUCGGGUUAAGUCCCAUAACGAGCGCAACCCCUAUCAUUAGUUGCCAUCAGGUCAAGCUGGGGACUCUAAUGAAACUGCCUACGCAAGUAGUGAGGAAGGUGGGGAUGACGUCAAAUCAGCACGGCCCUUACGUCCAGGGCUACACACGUGCUACAAUGGCCGGUACAGAGCGCAGCGAGGCCGCGAGGCGGAGCGAAUCGCUUAAAGCCGGUCCCAGUACGGAUUGGAGUCUGCAACCCGACUCCAUGAAGUUGGAAUCGCUAGUAAUCGCGCAUCAGCAUGGCGCGGUGAAUACGUUCCCGGGCCUU
RNAcentral lists this ribosomal RNA (460 nucleotides) under uncultured Sphingobacteriales bacterium. RNAcentral's name for it is "bacterial SSU rRNA". It matches the Rfam family "Bacterial small subunit ribosomal RNA", at positions 920 to 1382 of the family's 1533-position model. The record is from RNAcentral. Lineage: Bacteria; Pseudomonadati; Bacteroidota; Sphingobacteriia; Sphingobacteriales.